This 77-nucleotide transfer RNA is filed under the name Deltaproteobacteria bacterium. Its description in RNAcentral is "tRNA-Trp". It matches the Rfam family "tRNA". From Rfam's summary of the family: Transfer RNA (tRNA) molecules are approximately 80 nucleotides in length. Their secondary structure includes four short double-helical elements and three loops (D, anti-codon, and T loops). Lineage: Bacteria; Pseudomonadati; Myxococcota; Myxococcia. The record is from RNAcentral.
ACGCCAGUAGCUCAGCUCGGUAGAGCAGCGGACUCCAAAUCCGCAGGUCGGGGGUUCGAGCCCCUCCUGGCGUGCCA